Homarus americanus (American lobster) is the source of this 1343-nucleotide long non-coding RNA. RefSeq lists it as uncharacterized. NCBI's taxonomy places the organism in Eukaryota, Metazoa, Arthropoda, Malacostraca, Decapoda, Nephropidae. The transcript has 3 exons. The record is from RefSeq and is a predicted model, not a curated record.
UGUAAGUAGUGAACCACCUGUUACUGUUACACUGUAAAUAGUGAACCACCUGUUGCUGCUACACUGUAAGUAGUGUACCACUUGGGCUGAGCUAACUACAGUAUAUAAAACAACGGGGCGGACACAACAGAUAUGAGGUUAAUGGGACUGUGAUAACAGGACAACAGGAGAGAGAUAACAGAGACACUGUUGCAGGAUCAGAAGCGUGGUGGAGGCCGGGCUGUACCCUUACUGGCUGGACAAGAGUCUACCCGCCUACCAUAACUGUCGUCACUCGCCUUCCAAAAUUACCGUCCGGGAGCCUCUCGCCCUCGACAGCUUCUGGGGGAUGUUGGUGGUCCUGAUAGCUGGACACUUGGUGGCGCUGUUGGUGUUUUGCUUGGAACUCAAAGCCGGCAGCAACUGAUACAUCUUCCUCCUCCACACCUGACACACAUCUCACGCAAGAAAGUUCUCAAGAGUCAACACGAUGGUCGAUGUCUUCAGCACAAGUUUUGUCUCGGGAAAUGUGAUCAACAGAGAGUCAACGUAGGGGAGGUGAAAGGUGUGCGGCUGAUACCUGAAGUUGUUAAUAUGGUGAAGAUAACAGAGUCGAGGACAAGGACAAAGAUGUGUAAGAGUAAACCAACAUUUACUGAGUACUUUCAUGGAGUGUUAGAGAUCUUAGGACGACAACACUGUAUAAUAAUUCUCUCGUAAGAUGAACAGCCAUGUAGACAACAAAAGCUUUAUUAAACACACGAAGAGAAAAAUGUUUUAUUAGUGGUAUAAUAUUAGUGUAGGUACGUGUUCAGUCUGCUACCCUUCGUGCACACAAAAUUGUUGUACAUAUUUCAGGUUUCUUGUUUUUUUCGUCAAAUUUCUGUUACUAUGAUGUGAUGCCAUUAGACGUUUUACCGUUAAUGAUUUGGAGGAAGCUAAAGGCCAUUUGAGAUUAUAAAAUAUUUUACAGACUUUAAAUUAUCUUGUGGUAACGUUCAUGUUGCCAAUGAGUAAUUUUAUCCAAACUUGUUUUAAAAUAUUUGGGAAAUAACGAUCAAUGUUUUGAUAAAAUUAUCAGGAAUAAAUGUGAUGACUGGAGUCGUCUGACUGAUCGUGUCAUCUCCAUAUAAUUAGUGAUGAAAACCUGAAAGUAGUUUAGGAUAGGAGAAUACCAUUAUAAAGUAUAGGUUUAUUUACACCAUCUAUUCUUUGUAAUUUUCUCUUUGGAAUACAACAAAGACGAAAGGCUUCAUAAAAUAGAUCGGAACUAUUAUAGAUAAUGUAUCAGGUAGUUAAAACAUGCGUUAUAUUUCUGGGUGUGAAUAAAAUGACAAUGGAGACACGCUCAGUCUGUUGAUAAA